GAGGGUAUAGUUCAGUAGUAGAGCGCAUGCUUAGCAUGCACAAGGUCCUGGGUUCAAUCCCCAGUAUCUCCA
Molecule: transfer RNA, 72 nt
Organism: Camelus ferus (Wild Bactrian camel)
Lineage: Eukaryota; Metazoa; Chordata; Mammalia; Artiodactyla; Camelidae
Rfam family: tRNA
About the family: Transfer RNA (tRNA) molecules are approximately 80 nucleotides in length. Their secondary structure includes four short double-helical elements and three loops (D, anti-codon, and T loops).
Source: Rfam